Molecule: long non-coding RNA, 501 nt
Organism: Patella vulgata (common limpet)
Lineage: Eukaryota; Metazoa; Mollusca; Gastropoda; Patellidae
Exons: 3
Source: RefSeq, a predicted model, not a curated record
CUUGGACACACAAUAAUACAAAGAUGUUUUAUGUUGAUACCAAGCCACGAGAAAUCUGGAGUUUCGAUUUCGAUCUUGAAACUGGCAACCUGACAAACAAACAAGUUUUGAUAAAAUUCCCUGAAGACACCAUUAAGACUUUGGGCUACCCCGAUGGAAUGACGUCGGAUGUAGAUGACAAAAUAUGGUGUGCAUUUAUUAAUGGAAGCUGCAUAGUACGUUAUGAUCCAGAAACUGGUCAAGAGAUUUCCAGAAUUAAUUUUCCCACAAGCCAAAUCACUUCCUGUUGUUGGGGUGGCAAGAACUUUGAUGAGCUAUACGUCACAUCCGGUCAUAUGAAUAUUACUGAUGAUCAGGCCGGAUCAGUAUUUAGAGUUACCGAUCUUGGUACUAAAGGACGACCUGCUGACGUGUUCUGGGGUUAACUGAUUUGAAUACAACAAUGGGUUAAUUGAAUUCUGUGUAUUUAUCCAUUUAAAUAUUCUUCGAUUUAUUUUAAUU